This 253-nucleotide ribosomal RNA is filed under the name uncultured bacterium. RNAcentral's name for it is "partial 16S ribosomal RNA". It matches the Rfam family "Bacterial small subunit ribosomal RNA", at positions 524 to 776 of the family's 1533-position model. The record is from RNAcentral.
UACGAAGGGGGCUAGCGUUGCUCGGAAUCACUGGGCGUAAAGGGUGCGUAGGCGGGCCUUUAAGUCAGGGGUGAAAUCCUGGAGCUCAACUCCAGAACUGCCUUUGAUACUGAAGAUCUUGAGUUCGGGAGAGGUGAGUGGAACUGCGAGUGUAGAGGUGAAAUUCGUAGAUAUUCGCAAGAACACCAGUGGCGAAGGCGGCUCACUGGCCCGAUACUGACGCUGAUGCACGAAAGCGUGGGGAGCAAACAGG